Molecule: ribosomal RNA, 1373 nt
Filed under: uncultured bacterium
Lineage: Bacteria
Description: bacterial SSU rRNA
Rfam family: Bacterial small subunit ribosomal RNA
Source: RNAcentral
GAUAAACGCUGGCGGCGUGCCUAAUACAUGCAAGUCGAGCGAACGGACGAGAAGCUUGCUUCUCUGACGUUAGCGGCGGACGGGUGAGUAACACGUGGAUAACCUACCUAUAAGACUGGGAUAACUUCGGGAAACCGGAGCUAAUACCGGAUAAUAUUUUGAACCGCAUGGUUCAAAAGUGAAAGACGGUCUUGCUGUCACUUAUAGAUGGAUCCGCGCUGCAUUAGCUAGUUGGUAAGGUAACGGCUUACCAAGGCAACGAUGCAUAGCCGACCUGAGAGGGUGAUCGGCCACACUGGAACUGAGACACGGUCCAGACUCCUACGGGAGGCAGCAGUAGGGAAUCUUCCGCAAUGGGCGAAAGCCUGACGGAGCAACGCCGCGUGAGUGAUGAAGGUCUUCGGAUCGUAAAACUCUGUUAUUAGGGAAGAACAUAUGUGUAAGUAACUGUGCACAUCUUGACGGUACCUAAUCAGAAAGCCACGGCUAACUACGUGCCAGCAGCCGCGGUAAUACGUAGGUGGCAAGCGUUAUCCGGAAUUAUUGGGCGUAAAGCGCGCGUAGGCGGUUUUUUAAGUCUGAUGUGAAAGCCCACGGGCUCACCGUGGAGGGUCAUUGGAAACUGGGAAACUUGAGUGCAGAAGAGGAAAGUGGAAUUCCAUGUGUAGCGGUGAAAUGCGCAGAGAUAUGGAGGAACACCAGUGGCCGAAGGCGACUUUUUGGUCUGUAACUGACGCUGAUGUGCGAAAGCGUGGGGAUCAAACAGGAUUAGAUACCCUGGUAGUCCCCGCCGUAAACGAUGAGUGCUAAGUGUUAGGGGGUUUCCGCCCCUUAGUGCUGCAGCUAACGCAUUAAGCACUCCGCCUGGGGAGUACGACCGCAAGGUUGAAACUCAAAGGAAUUGACGGGGACCCGCACAAGCGGUGGAGCAUGUGGUUUAAUUCGAAGCAACGCGAAGAACCUUACCAAAUCUUGACAUCCUUUGACAACUCUAGAGAUAGAGCCUUCCCCUUCGGGGGACAAAGUGACAGGUGGUGCAUGGUUGUCGUCAGCUCGUGUCGUGAGAUGUUGGGUUAAGUCCCGCAACGAGCGCAACCCUUAAGCUUAGUUGCCAUCAUUAAGUUGGGCACUCUAAGUUGACUGCCGGUGACAAACCGGAGGAAGGUGGGGAUGACGUCAAAUCAUCAUGCCCCUUAUGAUUUGGGCUACACACGUGCUACAAUGGACAAUACAAAGGGCAGCGAAACCGCGAGGUCAAGCAAAUCCCAUAAAGUUGUUCUCAGUUCGGAUUGUAGUCUGCAACUCGACUACAUGAAGCUGGAAUCGCUAGUAAUCGUAGAUCAGCAUGCUACGGUGAAUACGUUCCCGGGUCU